Globicephala melas (long-finned pilot whale) is the source of this 1495-nucleotide long non-coding RNA. RefSeq lists it as uncharacterized. The record is from RefSeq and is a predicted model, not a curated record. NCBI's taxonomy places the organism in Eukaryota, Metazoa, Chordata, Mammalia, Artiodactyla, Delphinidae.
CCCGCAGCUCGGGGUCUUUUCCAUCCACCGUCACGGAACUGACCCGAAGGCCGAGGGGGGGGCGGCCUCACUGAGGCUGCCGGCUCUGGAGGGGCCCCGGCGGCCGAAGCAGCGACAGUCGUGCGGACGGCGGGCCGGUUGUUUCAACAAGUAACUUAAAGACAAAAUGGAAAAACAAGGAAGUUUGUGCCUGAGAUCACGUUGAUGUGAAACCAGGGAUGGCCACCUUGUGCCAGAACAUCAUUUUUAUACCUCUGCGUUUCUUACUAUUCAAAGCCAAGUCACGUGAGUUAGAGAAAACUUGAGCUGUCUCUCCUUGGAAUCAUCAGGAGAAAAAUACAGUAUUUCAGGUUCAUUCUUGAAACCAACUUCUCACGGUUAAGGUGUAUUGACUAAAAGAUCUUCCUUCAAGAAAUUCCAAACCUCUGUAGGACACUUCAUUGUAAUUGGAGAAAAAAGAAGAAUGAAAGCAGGCCAGCAGCUGCAGAGGGCAAGGCAGCCCCCAGGACUAGGGAAGGAGGAGGAGGAAGGGCUGAGAGCUGCCAUUAGAGAAGACAACCUCCAGAGGGCGCUGAAGCACCGGCACAGCCCACCUGCACUCCCACUUUGGCACUCCAGGAUCAGAGUUGGGUUUGGAGAUGGGGUUGUUGUAACCCCAAGGAGGUGAGCAGAGAAGAGGAGUUGAUUACCGGUCUCCUCUGACUCUCUGGCCCAAAUUACCUGGCUUCACAGGAGGGACAGAGUUUUGCUUUCAGCAACUGAUGGGGCACUUCCAGGCUGGUGGGGUUGCCCAGUGGCCCAACAGCCUGACAGGCUGACUGCGGUGUGACUGCCCUUUGUUUCUCCAGAAUCUGUACAUCAGGAGGUGCAUGGCUGCCGGAGCCCAUUCACCGCCCUUCCCCGAGGGGGAUGGCAACUUCCGUGGCUGUACCCUAUGAUCACCAGGUACUUGAAAUGAAUGCAAGUUUUUUUUACUUUAAGGAAGAGCUCACGUAACCCCUUCUGCCUCAUAAUGUGUAGGAUUUACUAUAAUGGAAGGACAUUAUAAAGAACAGGUAGAAAACUCACCUGUUGGUCUCCAUGUAGGAGUUUAUUUUGCAUGAAUCCCUCCUACAUGAGUAGAUAGCAGAGGUUUAUUUUUGUUCCUGUGUGUGUAGUUGUGGCAGAGGAUGUAGGUAUGGUGAUUUGAAGCCCUGAAAGAAAUAUUCUCAGAAUUCUCAAGACUUCUCUUGAUUGGAAUCGAAAGAGACCUGGAAAAGGAGGAAAAGAAAAGGAGGAGGGAGAAUGAACGACUGUUUCUCAGUAAAUUCACCUUCCUGGUUGAUUGUUCUGUCUUCUCAUUUCUUUUAACUUCUAUGUAUGUCUAAUGGAAUAAUGUAGAAAGGCUGAUUUUUAUGCUUUAAAAGAUUUUACAUCACAAAGAAACUAGAAGUGGAAAACAACUUAUUCAAAUCAAUGUUAUAUAGAGACUUUGAUAUUAAAUUUGUAUACUAAA